UGGCAGUGUUGAGGACAGGGGAACAUCUUUGUUCCCCUGUCCUCAACACUGCCAAAAUUGAACUAAGUUUCAUGCUCGAACUUACGUAC
This 89-nucleotide small nucleolar RNA is filed under the name Necator americanus (New World hookworm). Its description in RNAcentral is "Small nucleolar RNA SNORA11". The record is from Rfam by way of RNAcentral. Lineage: Eukaryota; Metazoa; Nematoda; Chromadorea; Rhabditida; Ancylostomatidae.